This 446-nucleotide ribosomal RNA is filed under the name uncultured bacterium. RNAcentral's name for it is "bacterial SSU rRNA". It matches the Rfam family "Bacterial small subunit ribosomal RNA", at positions 336 to 797 of the family's 1533-position model. The record is from RNAcentral.
CGCCUACGGGGGGCUGCAAUUAGGAAUCUUGCGCAAUGGGCGAAAGCCUGACGCAGCGACGCCGCGUGACCGACGAAGUCCUUCGGGAUGUAAAGGUCUUUUGCCAGGGAAGAAGAUCUGACGGUACCUGGCGAAUAAGCCCCGGCUAACUACGUGCCAGCAGCCGCGGUAAUACGUAGGGGGCGAGCGUUGUCCGAAGUUACUGGGCGUAAAGCGCGCGUAGGCGGUUGCUUAAGUUGGAUGUGAAAUCCUGGGGCCCAACCCCAGAACUGCAUCCAAAACUGGGCGACUUGAGGACGGGAGAGGGCAGUGGAAUUCCUGGUGUAGCGGUGAAAUGCGUAGAUAUCAGGAGGAACACCCGUGGCGAAGGCGGCUGCCUGGUCCGUAUCUGACGCUGAGGCGCGAAAGCCAGGGGAGCGAACGGGAUUAGAUACCCCAGUAGUCUG